UACGAAGGGGGCUAGCGUUGUUCGGAAUCACUGGGCGUAAAGCGCACGUAGGCGGAUCUUUAAGUCAGGGGUGAAAUCCCGGGGCUCAACCUCGGAACUGCCUUUGAUACUGGGAUCUCGAGUCCGGGAGAGGUGAGUGAACUGCGAGUGUAGAGGUGAAAUUCGUUAGAUAUUGGGAAGGAACACCGGUGGCGAAGGCGGCGACCUGGUUCAUUACUGACGCUGAGCGCGAAGCGUGGGAGCAACAGG
Molecule: ribosomal RNA, 249 nt
Filed under: uncultured bacterium
Lineage: Bacteria
Description: partial 16S ribosomal RNA
Rfam family: Bacterial small subunit ribosomal RNA
Source: RNAcentral